UAUAUUUUAGUAUAAGAUGUAUUCAGAUUUUUGGAGUCUGGGGGGCUGGUUUAAUUCCAUCAAAUAUAA
RNAcentral lists this transfer RNA (69 nucleotides) under Dicronychus cinereus. RNAcentral describes it as "tRNA-Gln". The record is from RNAcentral. Lineage: Eukaryota; Metazoa; Arthropoda; Insecta; Coleoptera; Elateridae.